RNAcentral lists this transfer RNA (63 nucleotides) under Nebria numburica. RNAcentral describes it as "tRNA-Leu". The record is from RNAcentral. Lineage: Eukaryota; Metazoa; Arthropoda; Insecta; Coleoptera; Carabidae.
UUAUUUUGGCAGAUUAGUGCAAUGAAUUUAGAAUUCAUAAAUAUAAUUAUAUUAUAAAUAAUA